RNAcentral lists this ribosomal RNA (433 nucleotides) under uncultured bacterium. Its description in RNAcentral is "partial 16S ribosomal RNA". It matches the Rfam family "Bacterial small subunit ribosomal RNA", at positions 29 to 507 of the family's 1533-position model. The record is from RNAcentral.
AACGAACGCUGGCGGCAUGCCUAACACAUGCAAGUCGAACGAGACCUUCGGGUCUAGUGUCGCACGGGUGCGUAACGCGUGGGAACCUUCCCUUAGGGUCGGAAUAACUCCCCGAAAGGGGUGCUAAUACCGGAUAAUGUCUUCGGACCAAAGAUUUAUCGCCUUUGGAUGGUCCCGCGUUGGAUUAGCUAGUUGGUAGGGUAAAAGCCUACCAAGGCGACGAUCCAUAGCUGGUCUGAGAGGAUGAUCAGCCACACUGGGACUGAGACACGGCCCAGACUCCUACGGGAGGCAGCAGUGGGGAAUAUUGGACCAUGGGCGAAAGCCUGAUCCAGCAAUGCCGCGUGAGUGAUGAAGGCCUUAGGGUUGUAAAGCUCUUUUAACCGGGAUGAUAAUGACAGUACCGGGAGAAUAAGCUCCGGCUAACUCCGUG